GGGCGUGUAGCUCAGUUGGGAGAGCGCAUCCAUGGCAUGGAUGAGGUCGCAGGUUCGACCCCUGUCACGUCCACCA
RNAcentral lists this transfer RNA (76 nucleotides) under Candidatus Dormiibacterota bacterium. RNAcentral describes it as "tRNA-Ala". It matches the Rfam family "tRNA". Rfam says of the family: Transfer RNA (tRNA) molecules are approximately 80 nucleotides in length. Their secondary structure includes four short double-helical elements and three loops (D, anti-codon, and T loops). Further hydrogen bonds mediate the characteristic L-shaped molecular structure. tRNAs have two regions of fundamental functional importance: the anti-codon, which is responsible for specific mRNA codon recognition, and the 3' end, to which the tRNAs corresponding amino acid is attached (by aminoacyl-tRNA synthetases). tRNAs cope with the degeneracy of the genetic code in two manners: having more than one tRNA (with a specific anti-codon) for a particular amino acid; and 'wobble' base-pairing, i.e. permitting non-standard base-pairing at the 3rd anti-codon position. RNAcentral also lists the same sequence under 2 other names. The record is from RNAcentral. Lineage: Bacteria; Bacillati; Candidatus Dormiibacterota.